RNAcentral lists this unclassified non-coding RNA (329 nucleotides) under soil metagenome. RNAcentral describes it as "partial contains 5.8S ribosomal RNA, internal transcribed spacer 2, and large subunit ribosomal RNA". The stretch from base 3 to 120 matches the Rfam family "5.8S ribosomal RNA", at positions 37 to 154 of the family's 154-position model. The record is from RNAcentral.
GGUGAAGAACGUAGUGAAAUGCGAUAAGUAAUGUGAAUUGCAGAAUUCAGUGAAUCAUCGAAUCUUUGAACGCACAUUGCGCCCCUUGGUAUUCCGGGGGGCAUGCCUGUCCGAGCGUCAUUACAACCCUCAAGCUCAGCUUGGUGUUGGGCCCCGCCGCCCCGGCGGGCCCUAAAGUCAGUGGCGGUGCCGUCCGGCUCCGAGCGUAGUAAUUCUUCUCGCUCUGGAGGUCCGGUCGUGUGCUCGCCAGCAACCCCCAAUUUUUUUCAGGUUGACCUCGGAUCAGGUAGGGAUACCCGCUGAACUUAAGCAUAUCAAUAAGCGGAGGA